CAUUCAUUUUUUUAAAUAUCCUAUUAUUUGGUAAUUUAAAAGGGUGCUGAAAGAGUGGACUUUGGAGAAGGACCUAGAUUUCAGUCCUAUCUCUAACACUUACUGACCAUGGCCAUUAUUUGGUUAACAGUCUUUUAGAUAAAGUAUUGAUAGUCCAUUUCAAGAAAGAAAAUAUCUCACCAUAGUCCUUUAUUUGCUUUUAUAGAUCAGUGUACUGUUACCCGGACGUACCUGUUCCUUCACAAAUUCUGGUUCUUUAGUGCAGCAUACUAUUUUGGUAACUGGGCCUUUCUUGGGGUAUUCUUGAUUGGAUUAAUUGUAUCCUGUUGUAAAGGGAAGAAAUCAGUCAUUGAAGGAGUAGAUGAAGAUGAUUCAGACAUAAGUGAUGAUGAGCCCUCUGUCUAUUCCGUUUGACAGCCUCUGUCGUAGGGGUUUUAUAAGGCUGACUGAAUGUCUGUUAUGCAUUUUUAAAGUGUUAAACUAAUAUUAGGAUGAACUGACUAGCUUUCAUCAAAAAUGGGAGCAUGGCUAUUAAAAAAACUAUAUUUUUUAUGUUAUCUGAAGUAACAUUGUAUCAUAGAUUAACAUUUAAAAUUGCUAUAAUAAUUCUAUGUAAAUAUAAAACUAUGGAUUUUGUGAAGGAAUGUUUGUGGAAAUUUUUUUUUCUCUAGUGUAUAAUAGUGUUGAAUUGAUUAAAAAUCUUCCAGAACUAAUAUUCCCUUUUGUCACUUUUUAAAAAACAUAAUAAAUCAAUUGUAUCUGUGCCUUUGGGUCUCUAGAGUAAUGUGGAAUUCUGAAGUGUCUAUAAGUGAUUGUCUAAAAAUAAUACUCACAAAAUAGCUGACAAAUAAAUGUUACUCCCCUCUGCAA
Long non-coding RNA from Panthera uncia (snow leopard), 870 nucleotides. RefSeq lists it as uncharacterized. The record is from RefSeq and is a predicted model, not a curated record. The transcript is spliced from 2 exons. Lineage: Eukaryota; Metazoa; Chordata; Mammalia; Carnivora; Felidae.